This 280-nucleotide long non-coding RNA is filed under the name Panax ginseng (ginseng). RNAcentral's name for it is "long non-coding RNA (PGIN_LNC000401)". The record is from RNAcentral. Lineage: Eukaryota; Viridiplantae; Streptophyta; Magnoliopsida; Apiales; Araliaceae.
CCAAGUCCAAGAAGAGGAAAGUAGACGUCAGGUGAUAGUUCUAAAUUUAAAUCAUGUUGACCGAUCAGUCAUGGUUGCUUCUUAUCCUAAGUCUGGCUUCUAUAUCCAGUCUCUUGUCACACUCAAACGAGGAGUCCCGCGAAUGCGACUACUGUGAGAGAAAGAACCAUACAAGGGAUCGUUGUUUUAAGCUUCAUGUACGCUCUAAAAGUCGUGAAGGAAGGUCUGGUAGUGGUAGUGGUAGUGGUCGUGGACGUGGUUCCUAUGCCCAUAUGUCCAC